RNAcentral lists this ribosomal RNA (513 nucleotides) under uncultured bacterium. Its description in RNAcentral is "bacterial SSU rRNA". It matches the Rfam family "Bacterial small subunit ribosomal RNA", at positions 26 to 518 of the family's 1533-position model. The record is from RNAcentral.
AGAACGAACGCUGGCGGCGUGCUUAACACAUGCAAGUCGAACGCGAAAGGGACUUCGGUCCUGAGUAAAGUGGCGCACGGGUGAGUAACGCGUAGAUAACCUGUCUUCAUGUCUGGAAUAAUACGCCGAAAGGGGUACUAAUACCGGAUAUUCUUGCUUUUCAUAAGUUAUGCAAGCAAAGGUGGCCUCUGCAUAUGCUACUGCAUGAAGAGGGGUCUGCGUACCAUUAGCUAGUAGGUGGGGUAAUGGCCUACCUAGGCGACGAUGGUUAGCGGGUCUGAGAGGAUGAUCCGCCACACUGGCACUGGAACACGGGCCAGACUCCUACGGGAGGCAGCAGUGAGGAAUAUUGCGCAAUGGGGGAAACCCUGACGCAGCGACGCCGCGUGAGUGAAGGAAGGCCUUCGGGUCGUAAAGCUCUGUCAAGAGGAAAGAAGUGUACAAUGGCUAAUACCUGUUGUAUUUGACGGUACCUCUAAAGGAAGCACCGGCUAACUCCGUGCCAGCAGCCGC